UACGUAGGGCGCAAGCGUUGUCCGGAAUUAUUGGGCGUAAAGAGCUCGUAGGUGGCUGGUCGCGUCUGCCGUGAAAGCCCGGAGCUCAACUCCGGGUCGGCCGUCGAUACUUCCGGGCUUGAGCACUGUAGAGGCAGAUGGAAUUCCGGGUGUAGCGGUGGAAUGCGUAGAGAUCCGGAAGAACACCGGUGGCGAAGGCGGUCUGCUGGGCAGUUGCUGACGCUGAUGCGCGACAGCGUGGGGAGCAAACAGG
This 253-nucleotide ribosomal RNA is filed under the name uncultured bacterium. RNAcentral's name for it is "partial 16S ribosomal RNA". It matches the Rfam family "Bacterial small subunit ribosomal RNA", at positions 524 to 776 of the family's 1533-position model. The record is from RNAcentral.